GAGGUCCCCGCCCGGGACGGCGGAGGGGGGCGGCGGGCCCUUCUCUGACACCCUCGACGAGCGACCGCCGCAGGGGCCUAGGCCACCCCUGCCCACCUCGGCCUGGCCCGCUCGAAGGUUCCGCGUUCCCGCCUUGCGCCCCUCCCUCCCUCUAGGCUCCGCGCCACCCCGGCUGAGAGCUGGCUUCGGCUCUCUAGGGUCCCAGCCUGGCGGGUCUAUCCCACCCCCCUGGGCCUUCAGCCCAGGUCCUGGAGACCAGAGGCUCGAAAACCCCGCCAGGCCUCCGGGCUUCUGACCACGGGCCGCGCGGAACCUCUUCUGGACUCAUCUGUCAAUCACCUAACAGCAUAGACCCCCCCCAACAAUCCCCCGGGGCUUGGCGAUGAAACGGGCGGGCGGGCUCCCUGCAGACCCGAGCACUGCCGCACUUUUUCCUGGAGCUGGGUUUGGGACACUUGCCAGACUGGGGUGUCUCCCUUCUCUGGGCUACACGUAAUUUUGGUUCUUUUAAAGUAAACAGCGAGAUGGAAAUGUCUGGUCACCAAGAGACAGGGACCAGUUAACUGGUAUUUUUCAAAUGGCCCUUGAAUGAGUACACAAACCAGCUUUCAUCUGCAAUCAGCAUCCCCUCUCCCUGCUGCCCUCUGCUGGGGAGAGUUCUUUGCCUGGGGUCCAAGCCGAUCUGCAGCCUCAGUAUUUAGAGGCACUUCAGCGUUUCCCCUGCAGCUGAGCAGGCAAGGCGGGUCUGGGGCCUAGCGCACACCGGCAGUGUGUAUCAGGCAAGGGGGAACCCCAGGAGAGUAAGGCCUUUCUUUCUAACCAAGCUGGGCUGAUGUUGAGGCGACACGAGCUCUCACUGCUGCAGCAAGCACUGCGUCCUCUGUGCGGCCAUAGGCGAAGUUUCUUUCUGACAAAGUGCACGGAUCUAUCCUCCACCUACUAGUUAACCAGACUUCUGCUUUUGAAAUCAAAAGUGCGGAAGGUCCGCUGGGCCAGCUGAUAGCUAUGAGAAGAUGGAGAGCGUGUGAGAGUGGGGAGUGGGGCACCAGAGCCCCUCACCCCUCCACCCCAACAGAGGAGGCAGCCAAGCUCUGUGAACGCCUGGACAUACUGCAAACAUGGGAAGCGGGCUGGAGGAGCUCCGAGUGGGGGACAGGGCUUCAGAGAGCAUCAAUGUGACAGCAAGGCCAUGCAGCCUGCUUCCAGGCCCCGGGAACCAGGGGGUCCGCCACAGCCACUGAGGCUAGAAAGCCAUGCCACUUCUGGCUGCUUUUCCCUCUGCAUCCUGAAGUCUCCAGGAUCUCGUCAGGGAGUGUGUGCCCAGCCUGGCACAGGGGCGGCCAACGCCUCAGGCAGAACUCCCCGGAGGGUCCUGCGGCACAGGCUGAUAACUACAGUUGAAUAAAAAUGACAGAAACCA
RNAcentral lists this non-coding RNA (1420 nucleotides) under Pongo abelii (Sumatran orangutan). Lineage: Eukaryota; Metazoa; Chordata; Mammalia; Primates; Hominidae. The record is from RNAcentral.